RNAcentral lists this long non-coding RNA (541 nucleotides) under Apteryx owenii (little spotted kiwi). RNAcentral describes it as "lncRNA (ENSAOWG00000007009.1)". Lineage: Eukaryota; Metazoa; Chordata; Aves; Apterygiformes; Apterygidae. The record is from RNAcentral.
AAGGAAAACCUUAGAUACGAAGAUAGAGACAGCAGAAGAUUGCUGGUCUGAAAAUACUGUGGUAAAGAACUGCAGUGAAGUUAUUUGAGGAGCACAGAAAUAUAUAUCUUUCCAGACUGAAGAACCAGCAUAUGUUAUCCACAAGCCUUCAAAACAGCAAAGUAGGCCAGUAUCCUGGGCCCCUCUGAAGUCAUUGCAUGCCCGUCCAUUCUACAAGUCCCAUCUGCCCUUGAGACAAGCAAAGUCAGGGUCUUUCUAGAUCCUGUUUUCAAGGAAGGGGUCAUGAUCAGCAUCUGCAGAAAGUCAGCCCUACUGGAAAUCUUCAAAGACUCAGAGUUGUCCCAGAGUCAUCUGCACAGAUAUUGAAAAAACAUGUAAGCCUGCUUUAUGGAGGUAUCUGUUCAUAAUAUUUUGCUGUAAGUAGAGACUUUCACCUUUCAUCUAUUAGCUGGAUGACACUGUGAACUAGUUGUAUCUCAGUGCACCCAAGACCAGGGUCCUGGAAUAUUAGAGCAGAAUAAAAGACAUGUGCUAUCUUCCA